This 376-nucleotide unclassified non-coding RNA is filed under the name uncultured bacterium. RNAcentral describes it as "contains 16S-23S intergenic spacer region". The record is from RNAcentral.
UCCGGCUUAACGCCGGCAGUCUCCCUAGAGUGCCCAACUGAAUGGUGGCAACUAAGGACGAGGGUUGCGCUCGUUGCGGGACUUAACCAAACAUCUCACGACACGAGCUGACGACGGCCAUGCAUCACCUGUCACUACGGCCCGAAGGCACUCUCUCCUUUCGGAGAAAUUAGUAGGAUGUCGAGCCUGGGUAAGGUUCUUCGCUUACCAUCGAAUUAAACAACACGCUCCACCGCUUGUGCGGGUCCCCGUCAAUUCCUUUAUGUUUUAAGCUUGCGCUCGUACUCCACAGGCGGGAUGCUUAACGCGUUAGCUUCGCUACUACCGGGGUCGAUACCGAUAACAGCUAGCAUCCAUUGUUUACGGCGUGGACUAC